UUUUAAAUAGUGUAAUUUAUAACACAUAACAUUUUCAUUGUUGAAAUUCCUGCAGAUUUAAAAUU
RNAcentral lists this transfer RNA (65 nucleotides) under Amblyomma geoemydae. RNAcentral's name for it is "tRNA-Gln". Lineage: Eukaryota; Metazoa; Arthropoda; Arachnida; Ixodida; Ixodidae. The record is from RNAcentral.